UACGGAGGGGGUUAGCGUUGUUCGGAAUUACUGGGCGUAAAGCGCGCGUAGGCGGACCAGAAAGUUGGGGGUGAAAUCCCGGGGCUCAACCCCGGAACGGCCUCCAAAACUCCUGGUCUUGAGUUCGAGAGAGGUGAGUGGAAUUCCGAGUGUAGAGGUGAAAUUCGUAGAUAUUCGGAGGAACACCAGUGGCGAAGGCGGCUCACUGGCUCGAUACUGACGCUGAGGUGCGAAAGUGUGGGGGGCAAACAGG
RNAcentral lists this ribosomal RNA (253 nucleotides) under uncultured bacterium. RNAcentral describes it as "partial 16S ribosomal RNA". It matches the Rfam family "Bacterial small subunit ribosomal RNA", at positions 524 to 776 of the family's 1533-position model. The record is from RNAcentral.